RNAcentral lists this ribosomal RNA (741 nucleotides) under Vibrio natriegens. RNAcentral's name for it is "bacterial SSU rRNA". It matches the Rfam family "Bacterial small subunit ribosomal RNA", at positions 38 to 755 of the family's 1533-position model. The record is from RNAcentral. Lineage: Bacteria; Pseudomonadati; Pseudomonadota; Gammaproteobacteria; Vibrionales; Vibrionaceae.
CGUGGCCGCAUCUACCAUGCAGUCGAGCGGUACAGAGAGAAGCUUGCUUCUCUGCUGACGAGCGGCGGCACGGGUGAGUAAUGCCUGGGAAAUUGCCCUGAUGUGGGGGAUAACCAUUGGAAACGAUGGCUAAUACCGCAUGAUGCCCUUGCUUAUAAUGAGCGGGGGCCAAAGAGGGGGACCUUCGGGCCUCUCGCGUCAGGAUAUGCCCAGGUGGGAUUAGCUAGUUGGUGAGGUAAGGGCUCACCAAGGCGACGAUCCCUAGCUGGUCUGAGAGGAUGAUCAGCCACACUGGAACUGAGACACGGUCCAGACUCCUACGGGAGGCAGCAGUGGGGAAUAUUGCACAAUGGGCGCAAGCCUGAUGCAGCCAUGCCGCGUGUAUGAAGAAGGCCUUCGGGUUGUAAAGUACUUUCAGUCGUGAGGAAGGGGAUAUCGUUAAUAGCGGUAUGCUUUGACGUUAGCGACAGAAGAAGCACCGGCUAACUCCGUGCCAGCAGCCGCGGUAAUACGGAGGGUGCGAGCGUUAAUCGGAAUUACUGGGCGUAAAGCGCAUGCAGGUGGUUUGUUAAGUCAGAUGUGAAAGCCCGGGGCUCAACCUCGGAGUUGCAUUUGAAACUGGCAGGCUAGAGUACUGUAGAGGGGGGUAGAAUUUCAGGUGUAGCGGUGAAAUGCGUAGAGAUCUGAAGGAAUACCAGUGGCGAAGGCGGCCCCCUGGACAGAUACUGACACUCAGAUGCG